UGAAUACGAGGCACUAAGGUGCUGAAGUAGUGUAUGUCAUACUUCCAAGAAAAGCUUGCACUAUCGUAAGAUAAAAAUGCCUGUACCAUAACCGACACAGGUGGGUAGGUAGAGUAUACUAAGGGGCGCGAGAUAACUCUCUCUAAGGAACUCGGCAAAAUAACUCCGUAACUUCGGGAGAAGGAGUGCCUUAUUCUAUAAGGUUGCAAUAACAAGAUCCAAGCAACUGUUUAUCAAAAACACAGGUCUCCGCUAAGUCGUAAGACGAUGUAUGGGGGCUGACGCCUGCCCAGUGCCAGAAGGUUAAAGAAGUCGGUUAGCAAUUGCGAAGCUGGUAACUGAAGCCCUGGUGAACGGCGGCCGUAACAAUAACGGUCCUAAGGUAGCGAAAUUCCUUGUCGGGUAAGUUCCGACCCGCACGAAAGGCGUAAUGAUUUGGAUACUGUCUCGGAGAGGGACUCGGUGAAAUAGACUUGUCUGUGAAGAUGCGGACUACCUGCACCAGGACAGAAAGACCCUAUGAAGCUUUACUGUAACUUGAAAUUGAAAUUGGACUUUAUUCGCGCAGUAUAGGUGGGAGGCGUUGAUUAUAAUCUUGUGGGAUUAUUGGAGCCAUUAGUGAGAUACCACUCUUGUAAUGUUAGAUUUCUAACUUUGAAUCAUGAUCUGGUCAAAGAACAGUAUCAGGCGGGCAGUUUGACUGGGGCGGUCGCCUCCUAAAUGGUAACGGAGGCGUACAAAGGUUUCCUCUGAACGGGUAGAAAUCGUAUCUAGAGUGUAAAGGCAUAAGGAAGCUUGACUGUGAGACCCACGAGUCGAGCAAGGACGAAAGUCGGUCUUAGUGAUCUGACGGUACUGAGUGGAAAGGCCGUCACUCAACGGAUAAAAGUUACUCUAAGGAUAACAGGCUGAUCUCCCCCAAGAGUUCACAUCGACGGGGAGGUUUGGCACCUCGAUGUCGGCUCAUCGCAUCCUGGGGCGGUAGUACGUCCCAAGGGUUGGGCCGUUCGCCCAUGAAAGCGGUACGCGAGCUGGGUUCAGAACGUCGUGAGACAGUUCGGUCCAUAUCCGGUGUAGGCGUUAGAAUAUUGAGAGGAGCCUUCUUUAGUACGAGAGGACCGAGAAGGACAUACCUCUGGUGUACCAGUUAUCGUGCCAACGGUAAGCGCUGGGUAGCUAUGUAUGGAGUGGAUAACCGCUGAAAGCAUCUAAGUGGGAAGCCCACCUCAAGAUAAGUAUUCU
This 1242-nucleotide ribosomal RNA is filed under the name metagenome. Its description in RNAcentral is "bacterial LSU rRNA". It matches the Rfam family "Bacterial large subunit ribosomal RNA", at positions 1564 to 2814 of the family's 2925-position model. The record is from RNAcentral.